GUUCAGAUAUAGCUCAGUGGUCAGAGUGUUGGACUCGUAAUUUGAAGGCCCGAUUUCGAAUCCUGUACUUUUAACU
This 76-nucleotide transfer RNA is filed under the name Rhamnusium bicolor. RNAcentral describes it as "tRNA-OTHER". Lineage: Eukaryota; Metazoa; Arthropoda; Insecta; Coleoptera; Cerambycidae. The record is from RNAcentral.